UAGGGAAUCUUCCGCAAUGGACGCAAGUCUGACGGAGCAACGCCGCGUGAGUGAAGAAGGAUUUCGGUUCGUAAAACUCUGUUGUUAGAGAAGAACAGCGCAUAGAGUAACUGUUAUGCGUGUGACGGUAUCUAACCAGAAAGCCACGGCUAACUACGUGCCAGCAGCCGCGGUAAUACGUAGGUGGCAAGCGUUGUCCGGAUUUAUUGGGCGUAAAGCGAGCGCAGGCGGUCAAUUAAGUCUGAUGUGAAAGCCCCCGGCUCAACCGGGGAGGGUCAUUGGAAACUGGUUGGCUUGGGUGCAGAAGAGGAGGGUGGAAUUCCAUGUGUAGCGGUGAAAUGCGUAGAUAUAUGGGGGAACACCAGUGGCGAAGGCGACUCUCUGGUCUGUAACUGACGCUGAGGUUCGAAAGCGUGGGUAGCAAACAGG
Molecule: ribosomal RNA, 429 nt
Filed under: Bacteroidota bacterium
Lineage: Bacteria; Pseudomonadati; Bacteroidota
Description: Bacteroidetes bacterium partial 16S ribosomal RNA
Rfam family: Bacterial small subunit ribosomal RNA
Source: RNAcentral